UCAAAUUGUACUUAUCUUGCACAAAUCGCGUUGAUCCGUGUAUGCAUCAGGUAGUAUCCGUCAAAAUCCUCUUGCGACGAUGCUUCGACAAAGGAUGAUGUUUCGAAGUCAAAAAGAGAAUAACACCAUUGGCCGUGAAAUAAGUACCAUAAUCAGUACAUGAUUUUGUAUUUAACGUGUUUGAUAAUUUGCUACAGAGAAAAGCUGAGAGAUCCGUCCUCACGAUUUCUAUUGAUUUCAUGUUCCAGGAAUUUGAGAAAAGGUUCGAACACUUUAGUGCAAAUGAAAGAUUUGUGUUGUGAUAUAGAAAUUGGGAUUUUUUUUAACAUCAUUUUUAACUCUUCGUGUUGGGAUUUGUGUUGUGCAAAAAGUAAUCUUAGUGUUUUGUUUUUUAAUUCUUCUGGAUUCAAUUUAUUUUGGUUUUGUAUAGAUGCCAUGAUAAUUUGUAAUUAAUUUUUUUAA
This is a long non-coding RNA of Daucus carota subsp. sativus, 462 nucleotides long. RefSeq lists it as uncharacterized. NCBI's taxonomy places the organism in Eukaryota, Viridiplantae, Streptophyta, Magnoliopsida, Apiales, Apiaceae. The record is from RefSeq and is a predicted model, not a curated record. The transcript is spliced from 2 exons.